RNAcentral lists this transfer RNA (85 nucleotides) under bacterium. RNAcentral describes it as "tRNA-Ser". It matches the Rfam family "tRNA". Rfam says of the family: Transfer RNA (tRNA) molecules are approximately 80 nucleotides in length. Their secondary structure includes four short double-helical elements and three loops (D, anti-codon, and T loops). The record is from RNAcentral.
GGAGAGUUGCGAGAGCGGUCGAAUCGGCACGACUGGAAAUCGUGUGUACCGAGAGGUACCCUGGGUUCGAAUCCCAGACUCUCCG